AGCGAACGCUGGCGGCAGGCUUAACACAUGCAAGUCGAGCGGGCGUAGCAAUACGUCAGCGGCAGACGGGUGAGUAACGCGUGGGAACGUACCUUUUGGUUCGGAACAACCCAGGGAAACUUGGGCUAAUACCGGAUAAGCCCUUACGGGGAAAGAUUUAUCGCCGAAAGAUCGGCCCGCGUCUGAUUAGCUAGUUGGUGAGGUAACGGCUCACCAAGGCGACGAUCAGUAGCUGGUCUGAGAGGAUGAUCAGCCACAUUGGGACUGAGACACGGCCCAAACUCCUACGGGAGGCAGCAGUGGGGAAUAUUGGACAAUGGGCGCAAGCCUGAUCCAGCCAUGCCGCGUGAGUGAUGAAGGCCCUAGGGUUGUAAAGCUCUUUUGUGCGGGAAGAUAAUGACGGUACCGCAAGAAUAAGCCCCGGCUAACUUCGUGCCAGCCGCCGCCGUAAC
RNAcentral lists this ribosomal RNA (452 nucleotides) under uncultured bacterium. Its description in RNAcentral is "bacterial SSU rRNA". It matches the Rfam family "Bacterial small subunit ribosomal RNA", at positions 29 to 524 of the family's 1533-position model. The record is from RNAcentral.